This 798-nucleotide long non-coding RNA is filed under the name Coturnix japonica (Japanese quail). Its description in RNAcentral is "lncRNA (ENSCJPG00005018928.1)". Lineage: Eukaryota; Metazoa; Chordata; Aves; Galliformes; Phasianidae. The record is from RNAcentral.
CAAAUAAAGGGGCAGGAUCCCCAAAAGCAGAGCUGUCCCUUUGGAACAGGUUCAUCAACGUGAACAGACACCAGUGGACCUUGCGUAAGGCUCGUGCCUCCAGGAGCUCGAUGGAGCUGGAAAGUGAGGAGCAGCCGCUCCUGCGGGCAGCUGAGAUCAGACCCACGAGCCCUGAGCUCCCCGUGCUGCCCGCAGAGCCCUGUGCGGCGCUGCCGGUGUACAGGUUUUCCAGGAGCAGAGCGGCCGCUGGUGGCUUUGGGAGAAGCCAUGCAGAGCUGGGAGCGAACGGAGCAGGAAUGCCUGGAGAAGGCUGAGAUGCAUGACCCCAUGGAGCCUCACUGCCACUGUCCUGCAGGAGACAUCAGUGCUUCCCCUCUGCUGUGCCCAACCUGCCCAGGAGCCCUGUGUUUCAGCUUCCUCCUCUCCUCCUCUUCUUUCCCUCGUGUUCAUCAUUCAUGUGCACACCACGUUUCCUUUCUGCUUUCUCCCUUCCCUGCUCCUUGGAGAAGACCCUGUGUGUCUCACCACACUGAUGAGGUGGACAGGUUUGAUUCGAGUUGGUUUCAAUUGAACAUUCUGUGUGAACAAGCUCUUCUUGCUUCUCCCUCUGUGCUCUCAAGUUCCCUCAUUAAACAGUUCUCUGCUGAAUUGUUUUUCUCCUUUCUUUCUUUCCCUCUGCCUUCCAGUUUUUCCCAUGUCUUCCCCAUUACUCUCUUGGUUUCUACGGUGUUUAUGGAUGAAUUUCUUAAUUUGGGGGUUAGAACAAGUAAAUCUGCCUCUGCUGCAAAGGAGAGGUGA